Molecule: ribosomal RNA, 496 nt
Filed under: uncultured bacterium
Lineage: Bacteria
Description: partial 16S ribosomal RNA
Rfam family: Bacterial small subunit ribosomal RNA
Source: RNAcentral
GAUGAACGCUGGCGGCGUGCCUAAUACAUGCAAGUCGAGCGAACGGACGAGAAGCUUGCUUUUCUGAUGUUAGCGGCGGACGGGUGAGUAACACGUGGAUAACCUACCUAUAAGACUGGGAUAACUUCGGGAAACCGGAGCUAAUACCGGAUAAUAUUUUGAACCGCAUGGUUCAAAAGUGAAAGACGGUCUUGCUGUCACUUAUAGAUGGAUCCGCGCUGCAUUAGCUAGUUGGUAAGGUAACGGCUUACCAAGGCAACGAUGCAUAGCCGACCUGAGAGGGUGAUCGGCCACACUGGAACUGAGACACGGUCCAGACUCCUACGGGAGGCAGCAGUAGGGAAUCUUCCGCAGUGGGCGAAAGCCUGACGGAGCAACGCCGCGUGAGUGAUGAAGGUCUUCGGAUCGUAAAACUCUGUUAUUAGGGAAGAACACAUGUGUAAGUAACUGUGCACAUCUUGACGGUACCUAAUCAGAAAGCCACGGCUAACUACGU